RNAcentral lists this ribosomal RNA (432 nucleotides) under uncultured bacterium. Its description in RNAcentral is "partial 16S ribosomal RNA". It matches the Rfam family "Bacterial small subunit ribosomal RNA", at positions 29 to 506 of the family's 1533-position model. The record is from RNAcentral.
AACGAACGCUGGCGGCAUGCCUAACACAUGCAAGUCGAACGAGACCUUCGGGUCUAGUGGCGCACGGGUGCGUAACGCGUGGGAACCUGCCCUUAGGUUCGGAAUAACUCCCCGAAAGGGGUGCUAAUACCGGAUAAUGUCUUCGGACCAAAGAUUUAUCGCCUUUGGAUGGGCCCGCGUUGGAUUAGCUAGUUGGUAGGGUAAAAGCCUACCAAGGCGACGAUCCAUAGCUGGUCUGAGAGGAUGUUCAGCCACACUGGGACUGAGACACGGCCCAGACUCCUACGGGAGGCAGCAGUGGGGAAUAUUGGACAAUGGGCGAAAGCCUGAUCCAGCAAUGCCGCGUGAGUGAUGAAGGCCUUAGGGUUGUAAAGCUCUUUUACCCGGGAUGAUAAUGACAGUACCGGGAGAAUAAGCUCCGGCUAACUCCGU